UUUCCUAGGGCAUACCUCCAAUCCUUUCACGAUCGAAGGAAGAUGAGAGGACUAGAACUAUCGUGCUGAUAACGUGUUAUAAACUAGAGAGAAGCGAGAGAAUAUAGUAGAGAAUACAAAUAUCGUUAUUAUGAAGUUCACAACACACCCAUAUUUAUAGGUGUUAAACCAAGUGUGAACGUCCGGUGUGAACGUUCACACACGUCCGGUGUGAACGUUCACACACGUCCGGUGUGAACGGAGGACAGUCAACUCCGGUGGCUUGAAGAUGUCAAGUGUUAUUCUCCCUCUAGGUUUCUUGGUCAACACACAUAAGAUAUAUCUAGAAGAUAUAUUUACAACACUUCCCCUUGAUUGACCAAUCCCUAAAAAAUGUUGCCUCAUUAAAACCUUGCUAGGAAAACCCAAUGGGACAAAACCUAGUCGAAGGAAAAAGAGUACAACUGCUUCCCCUGAACUUGAGAUCAUUGAAUAUCUUUGAGUCGACGUAUGCCGAUCUCGUGUACCAACUUUCUGAAUGUCGAUGUUGGUAAUGCCUUGGUGAAUAAGUCCGCCAGAUUUUCACUUGAGCGAAUUUGUUGCACGUCGAUAUCGUAACCCUUUUGAAGGUCGUGUGUGUAGAAGAGCUUUGGAAAAAUAUGCUUCGUCCUAUCUCCUUUGAUGUAUCCUUCCUUGAGUUGCGCGAUGCAAUCAGCAUUGUCUUCAUAUAAAACAGUUGGUUUGGCCUUUGAUGAA
Molecule: long non-coding RNA, 735 nt
Organism: Salvia miltiorrhiza (redroot sage)
Lineage: Eukaryota; Viridiplantae; Streptophyta; Magnoliopsida; Lamiales; Lamiaceae
Exons: 2
Source: RefSeq, a predicted model, not a curated record